GACGAACGCUGGCGGCGUGCUUAACACAUGCAAGUCGAACGGAAAGGCCCUGCUUGCAGGGUACUCGAGUGGCGAACGGGUGAGUAACACGUGGGUGAUCUGCCCUGCACUUCGGGAUAAGCCUGGGAAACUGGGUCUAAUACCGGAUAGGAGCCAUUUUUAGUGUGAUGGUUGGAAAGUUUUUUCGGUGUAGGAUGAGCUCGCGGCCUAUCAGCUUGUUGGUGGGGUAAUGGCCUACCAAGGCGGCGACGGGUAGCCGGACUGAGAGGGUGGACGGCCACAUUGGGACUGAGAUACGGCCCAGACACCGACGGGAGGCAGCAGUGGGGAAUAUUGCACAAUGGGCGCAAGCCUGAUGCAGCGACGCCGCGUGGGGGAUGACGGCCUUCGGGUUGUAAAAUCCUUUCGCUAGGGACGAAGCUUUUUGUGACGGUACCUAGAUAAGAAGCACCGGCUAACUACGUG
RNAcentral lists this ribosomal RNA (465 nucleotides) under uncultured bacterium. Its description in RNAcentral is "partial 16S ribosomal RNA". It matches the Rfam family "Bacterial small subunit ribosomal RNA", at positions 28 to 507 of the family's 1533-position model. The record is from RNAcentral.